RNAcentral lists this ribosomal RNA (2904 nucleotides) under Escherichia coli. Its description in RNAcentral is "23S ribosomal RNA". It matches the Rfam family "Bacterial large subunit ribosomal RNA". The record is from RNAcentral. Lineage: Bacteria; Pseudomonadati; Pseudomonadota; Gammaproteobacteria; Enterobacterales; Enterobacteriaceae.
GGUUAAGCGACUAAGCGUACACGGUGGAUGCCCUGGCAGUCAGAGGCGAUGAAGGACGUGCUAAUCUGCGAUAAGCGUCGGUAAGGUGAUAUGAACCGUUAUAACCGGCGAUUUCCGAAUGGGGAAACCCAGUGUGUUUCGACACACUAUCAUUAACUGAAUCCAUAGGUUAAUGAGGCGAACCGGGGGAACUGAAACAUCUAAGUACCCCGAGGAAAAGAAAUCAACCGAGAUUCCCCCAGUAGCGGCGAGCGAACGGGGAGGAGCCCAGAGCCUGAAUCAGUGUGUGUGUUAGUGGAAGCGUCUGGAAAGGCGCGCGAUACAGGGUGACAGCCCCGUACACAAAAAUGCACAUACUGUGAGCUCGAUGAGUAGGGCGGGACACGUGGUAUCCUGUCUGAAUAUGGGGGGACCAUCCUCCAAGGCUAAAUACUCCUGACUGACCGAUAGUGAACCAGUACCGUGAGGGAAAGGCGAAAAGAACCCCGGCGAGGGGAGUGAAAAAGAACCUGAAACCGUGUACGUACAAGCAGUGGGAGCACGCUUAGGCGUGUGACUGCGUACCUUUUGUAUAAUGGGUCAGCGACUUAUAUUCUGUAGCAAGGUUAACCGAAUAGGGGAGCCGAAGGGAAACCGAGUCUUAACUGGGCGUUAAGUUGCAGGGUAUAGACCCGAAACCCGGUGAUCUAGCCAUGGGCAGGUUGAAGGUUGGGUAACACUAACUGGAGGACCGAACCGACUAAUGUUGAAAAAUUAGCGGAUGACUUGUGGCUGGGGGUGAAAGGCCAAUCAAACCGGGAGAUAGCUGGUUCUCCCCGAAAGCUAUUUAGGUAGCGCCUCGUGAAUUCAUCUCCGGGGGUAGAGCACUGUUUCGGCAAGGGGGUCAUCCCGACUUACCAACCCGAUGCAAACUGCGAAUACCGGAGAAUGUUAUCACGGGAGACACACGGCGGGUGCUAACGUCCGUCGUGAAGAGGGAAACAACCCAGACCGCCAGCUAAGGUCCCAAAGUCAUGGUUAAGUGGGAAACGAUGUGGGAAGGCCCAGACAGCCAGGAUGUUGGCUUAGAAGCAGCCAUCAUUUAAAGAAAGCGUAAUAGCUCACUGGUCGAGUCGGCCUGCGCGGAAGAUGUAACGGGGCUAAACCAUGCACCGAAGCUGCGGCAGCGACGCUUAUGCGUUGUUGGGUAGGGGAGCGUUCUGUAAGCCUGUGAAGGUGUGCUGUGAGGCAUGCUGGAGGUAUCAGAAGUGCGAAUGCUGACAUAAGUAACGAUAAAGCGGGUGAAAAGCCCGCUCGCCGGAAGACCAAGGGUUCCUGUCCAACGUUAAUCGGGGCAGGGUGAGUCGACCCCUAAGGCGAGGCCGAAAGGCGUAGUCGAUGGGAAACAGGUUAAUAUUCCUGUACUUGGUGUUACUGCGAAGGGGGGACGGAGAAGGCUAUGUUGGCCGGGCGACGGUUGUCCCGGUUUAAGCGUGUAGGCUGGUUUUCCAGGCAAAUCCGGAAAAUCAAGGCUGAGGCGUGAUGACGAGGCACUACGGUGCUGAAGCAACAAAUGCCCUGCUUCCAGGAAAAGCCUCUAAGCAUCAGGUAACAUCAAAUCGUACCCCAAACCGACACAGGUGGUCAGGUAGAGAAUACCAAGGCGCUUGAGAGAACUCGGGUGAAGGAACUAGGCAAAAUGGUGCCGUAACUUCGGGAGAAGGCACGCUGAUAUGUAGGUGAAGUCCCUCGCGGAUGGAGCUGAAAUCAGUCGAAGAUACCAGCUGGCUGCAACUGUUUAUUAAAAACACAGCACUGUGCAAACACGAAAGUGGACGUAUACGGUGUGACGCCUGCCCGGUGCCGGAAGGUUAAUUGAUGGGGUCAGCGCAAGCGAAGCUCUUGAUCGAAGCCCCGGUAAACGGCGGCCGUAACUAUAACGGUCCUAAGGUAGCGAAAUUCCUUGUCGGGUAAGUUCCGACCUGCACGAAUGGCGUAAUGAUGGCCAGGCUGUCUCCACCCGAGACUCAGUGAAAUUGAACUCGCUGUGAAGAUGCAGUGUACCCGCGGCAAGACGGAAAGACCCCGUGAACCUUUACUAUAGCUUGACACUGAACAUUGAGCCUUGAUGUGUAGGAUAGGUGGGAGGCUUUGAAGUGUGGACGCCAGUCUGCAUGGAGCCGACCUUGAAAUACCACCCUUUAAUGUUUGAUGUUCUAACGUUGACCCGUAAUCCGGGUUGCGGACAGUGUCUGGUGGGUAGUUUGACUGGGGCGGUCUCCUCCUAAAGAGUAACGGAGGAGCACGAAGGUUGGCUAAUCCUGGUCGGACAUCAGGAGGUUAGUGCAAUGGCAUAAGCCAGCUUGACUGCGAGCGUGACGGCGCGAGCAGGUGCGAAAGCAGGUCAUAGUGAUCCGGUGGUUCUGAAUGGAAGGGCCAUCGCUCAACGGAUAAAAGGUACUCCGGGGAUAACAGGCUGAUACCGCCCAAGAGUUCAUAUCGACGGCGGUGUUUGGCACCUCGAUGUCGGCUCAUCACAUCCUGGGGCUGAAGUAGGUCCCAAGGGUAUGGCUGUUCGCCAUUUAAAGUGGUACGCGAGCUGGGUUUAGAACGUCGUGAGACAGUUCGGUCCCUAUCUGCCGUGGGCGCUGGAGAACUGAGGGGGGCUGCUCCUAGUACGAGAGGACCGGAGUGGACGCAUCACUGGUGUUCGGGUUGUCAUGCCAAUGGCACUGCCCGGUAGCUAAAUGCGGAAGAGAUAAGUGCUGAAAGCAUCUAAGCACGAAACUUGCCCCGAGAUGAGUUCUCCCUGACCCUUUAAGGGUCCUGAAGGAACGUUGAAGACGACGACGUUGAUAGGCCGGGUGUGUAAGCGCAGCGAUGCGUUGAGCUAACCGGUACUAAUGAACCGUGAGGCUUAACCUU